UAAGUGUGAUUUGUGUUUCGGCUGUAGU
Molecule: small RNA, 28 nt
Filed under: Bombyx mori (domestic silkworm)
Lineage: Eukaryota; Metazoa; Arthropoda; Insecta; Lepidoptera; Bombycidae
Description: ovarian small RNA-19440
Source: RNAcentral